CACACCGCCCGUCACACCAUGGGAGCCAGUUGCUCUAGAAGUCGGUGCGCCAACCUAGUGAGGUAGCCGCCUAAAGAGUGACUGGUAACUGGGGUG
This 96-nucleotide ribosomal RNA is filed under the name uncultured bacterium. RNAcentral describes it as "partial 16S ribosomal RNA". It matches the Rfam family "Bacterial small subunit ribosomal RNA", at positions 1386 to 1482 of the family's 1533-position model. The record is from RNAcentral.